Molecule: ribosomal RNA, 460 nt
Filed under: uncultured bacterium
Lineage: Bacteria
Description: partial 16S ribosomal RNA
Rfam family: Bacterial small subunit ribosomal RNA
Source: RNAcentral
CCUACGGGAGGCAGCAGUGAGGAAUAUUGGUCAAUGGGCGAGAGUCUGAACCAGCCAAGUCGCGUGAAGGAUGACGGCCCUCUGGGUUGUAAACUUCUUUUAUCUGGGAGUAAAACAGGGUAUGCAUACCCUCUUGUAUGUACCAUAUGAAUAAGGAUCGGCUAACUCCGUUCCAGCCGCCGCGGUAAUACCGGGGGUCCGAGCGGUAUCCGGAUUUAUUGGGUUUAAAGGGAGCGGAGGUGGAUUGUUAAGUCAGUGGGGAAAGUUUGGGGCUCAACCGUACAAUUGCAGUUGAAACUGGCAGUCUUGAGUACAGUAGAGGUGGGCGGAAGUCGUGGUGUAGCGGUGAAAUGCUUAGAUAUCACGAAGAACUCCGAUUGCGAAGGCAGCUCACUGGACUGCAACUGACACUGAUGCUCGAAAGUGUGGGUAUCAAACAGGAUUAGAUACCCGAGUAGUC